CCUACGGGUGGCAGCAGUGGGGGAUAUUGCACAAUGGGGGAAACCCUGAUGCAGCGACGCCGCGUGAGUGAAGAAGUAUUUCGGUAUGUAAAGCUCUAUCAGCAGGGAAGAAAAUGACAGUACCUGACCAAGAAGCCCCGGCUAACUACGUGCCAGCAGCCGCGGUAAUACGUAGGGGGCAAGCGUUAUCUGGAGUUCCUGGGUGUAAAGGGGGCGUAGACGGUUAUGUAAGUCUGGAGUGAAAGCCCAGGGCCCAACCCCGGGACUGCUUUGGAAACUGUGUAACUGGAGGACAGGAGGGGCAGGCGGAAUUCCUGGUGUAGCGGUGAAAUGCGUAGAUAUCAGGAGGAACACCGGCGGCGAAGGCGGCCUGCUGGACUGAAACUGACGUUGAGGCUCGAAAGCGUGGGGAGCAAACAGGAUUAGAUACCCUAGUAGUC
RNAcentral lists this ribosomal RNA (440 nucleotides) under uncultured bacterium. Its description in RNAcentral is "partial 16S ribosomal RNA". It matches the Rfam family "Bacterial small subunit ribosomal RNA", at positions 338 to 795 of the family's 1533-position model. The record is from RNAcentral.